RNAcentral lists this ribosomal RNA (406 nucleotides) under uncultured bacterium. RNAcentral's name for it is "partial 16S ribosomal RNA". It matches the Rfam family "Bacterial small subunit ribosomal RNA", at positions 30 to 526 of the family's 1533-position model. The record is from RNAcentral.
AUUGAACGCUGGCGGCAGGCCUAACACAUGCAAGUCGAACGAGUGGCGGACGGGUGAGUAAUGUCUGGGAAACUGCCCGAUGGCGGGGGAUAACUCCUGGAAACGGUAGCUAAUACCGCGUAGCAUCGGAUGAGCCCAGAUGGGAUUAGCUUGUAGGUGGGGUAACGGCUCACCUAGGCGACGAUCCCUAGCUGGUCUGAGAGGAUGAACAGCCACACUGGAACUGAGACGGGGUCCCGACUCCUACGGGAGGGAGCAGUGGGGAAUAUUGCACAAUGGGCGCGAGCCUGAUGCAGCCAUGCCGCGUGUAUGAAGAAGGCCUUCGGGUUGUAAAGUACGUUCAGCGGGGAGGCGUUACCCGCAGAAGAAGCACCGGCUAAUUCCGUGCCAGCAGCCGCGGUAAUUC